Molecule: ribosomal RNA, 498 nt
Filed under: uncultured Glomeromycotina
Lineage: Eukaryota; Fungi; Glomeromycota
Description: partial small subunit ribosomal RNA
Rfam family: Eukaryotic small subunit ribosomal RNA
Source: RNAcentral
CCAAUAGCGUAUAUUAAAGUUGCUGCAGUUAAAAAGCUCGUAGUUGAAUUUCGGGACUAAUAUGUCGGUCGUGCCUCGGUACGUACUGGUAUUUUGGUUUCUCCCCUCUGACGAACCUUGAUGUCAUUAAUUUGGUGGCUUGGGGAAUCAGGACUGUUACUUUGAAAAAAUUAGAGUGUUUAAAGCAGGCUCACGCUUGAAUACAUUAGCAUGGAAUAAUGAAAUAGGACGUUUGAUUCUAUUUUGUUGGUUUCUAGGAUCGACGUAAUGAUUAAUAGGGAUAGUUGGGGGCAUUAGUAUUCAAUUGUCAGAGGUGAAAUUCUUGGAUUUAUUGAAGACUAACUACUGCGAAAGCAUUUGCCAAGGAUGUUUUCAUUAAUCAAGAACGAAAGUUAGGGGAUCGAAGACGAUCAGAUACCGUCGUAGUCUUAACCAUAAACUAUGCCGACUAGGGAUCGGAUGAUGUUAAUUUUUUAAUGACUCAUUCGGCGCCUUACG